Long non-coding RNA from Balaenoptera musculus (blue whale), 1930 nucleotides. RefSeq lists it as uncharacterized. The transcript is spliced from 3 exons. The record is from RefSeq and is a predicted model, not a curated record. NCBI's taxonomy places the organism in Eukaryota, Metazoa, Chordata, Mammalia, Artiodactyla, Balaenopteridae.
CGGAGGCGCGUUCCUGCCGCCGGCGUGCGGGGCGGAGCGGAACAGGAAAGGGAGCUCGGGUGUCUGCCAGUCCCGGAGAGGGGUCGGCACGGUCCCUGGGGUCCCCCAGCCGGAGCAGUAAGCCUCCGCCACAGUAAGGCCUUCUAAUUCGGGGGACCCCCUCCUUCCGGCCGGAGCUGUGCCAUUGUGGGGCCACGCAAAGCCCAUGGGAACGGGGGAGGGGCAGAACAGGGUGCUAGUUCACAGCGUUUGAACUGAUGCCUUGCUCCCAAAUUACCGGGGGUACAGCCUACCACAGUGUCUCUCGAGUGGCACCGUUACGCUUCCAGUCCUUUGGGUCUUGGAGGCGUUGAAGGUUCCCAGAGUCUCCUAGGAAAUUGCCAGCACCUCUGGGAGAGGGAACCUCCUAAACUGUUAGCGGCCCACGCCCGCGGUGGGGGUUCGUUGGCCGCCAGUGUGUGGAGCUGGGCCUGGAGAGCGGGACCCGGGAGGCGUCCAGGCUGUCUCCUGAGAACCCUAAGAUCCCAGAAGCAUGAGCUGGAAGGGACUGUGAAGAGAGUCUCAUUCUACACCUUCUCCCACUUGACAGAUGGAGAACAGAGGCCAAAGAGGGGGAUUGACUUGUACAAAGAGCUCUGCGGAGCGAUGACACCCUGGAGAGAGCUGCCUGCCACCCACACCGCUUUUGACAUCAGUACUUUGUCUUUAAAGAAACUCCUUUCCCCCUCACUCAGGCCUUGGAUUUGGUGAGACUCACCCUAAUCCUCUCCAGAGUGGGGCAAAUGAUCAGGCCUGGACAAUGAACAUAUUCCAUUGUUCUAGACACAAUGAUUGGCUCAUAAGCCAAUCCAAAUAGUUGAGACUGAUAUCCAGGUCAUUUGUUGCAGUUUACAAGAAAGAGAUUGUUCCCCUUUUACUGAGUUUGUUGAGCUGGGGCUUCAGCUUCAACCACAGGGGGGCAUCUUUGACACCCCAAGCAGAGAGAUUGUCUAAGAAUAAAGUGAACACAAAGAGAAGCUAAGAAAUGGAGAGAGACAGUCCUGGUGACAUAAUUUGAGCACCUGGAUCCAUCCAUGCCUGAAGACCUGCUUCUGGAUUGUUCUGUUAGGUAAACCAAUGAAUUCAGUUUUUGCUGAAGCCAGUUUGAGUUGGGUUUUUGUCACUUCCAGUCAAAAUAGUCCCAAAUAAUUUACCUACAUCUCCCCCAACCCGGGCUGGUGUACUGGAUUAUUUAUAUUGUAGAAAAAUGCCUGAAAGGGUGAGCUACUCCUGACAUAUUGGAACCCAAAGACAAGAAUUUGAGGUGCAUCUCUGCCACUGUGUGACCUAGGACGGUGAUGCUACUCCUCACAGCCUCAUUUUCUUCAUUUAUAAAAUAGAGAAAAACAUCCUUCCUUCCUACAGAUGUUAUGAGGAUCAAGAGAGAGAAUGCAUGGCAAAGAGCUUUGUAAACUGAAAAUGGCUUUAUAAAUGUAAGUGAUUGUCAUUAAAUUUUAAUAAGUGGCUUGCCCAAGGAGUAGAAAUUACAGUGUUAUUGAAGGCACUCGCAGAGCUAUAAGUAGCUGGGACAGAAUGUUUCCUCAUUUUCAAGACUAACCUUGGAGCAGUUACAGAAAGGAAGUCUGAGAACUCUCCACAGGAAGAACAGAACAGAACAGUUGUGAGCUCAAGUUGGGGACUAUAGACCAUAAGGCAAAGAUGAUCCUGGACUGAGCACCUGGAUGAGAGAAGCCCCCAGGGCACUUCCAGCCAAUAUCCUAGCAGAGAAGGAUUUGUGACUUGUCAGAUACCCUUACGCCUAAAGUAAGUGUUCAGUUACAUUGAACGGUUAUUAAGCUCUUACAGCAUUCUAGGUCCCCUGAUCUUUGCUUUAGAUAUAUUGUCUCAUUUAAUCUUCACAAUAACCCUAAGAGGUAGUGUUAUGGGCUGA